ACAGCAGUAGCCGCGGUAAUACGAAGGGGGCUAGCGUUGCUCGGAAUGACUGGGCGUAAAGGGCGCGUAGGCGGUGGCCAAAGUCAGGCGUGAAAUUCCUGGGCUCAACCUGGGGGCUGCGCUUGAUACUUGGUUGCUUGAGUGGGGAAGAGGGUCGUGGAAUUCCCAGUGUAGAGGUGAAAUUCGUAGAUAUUGGGAAGAACACCGGUGGCGAAGGCGGCGACCUGGUCCUUGACCGACGCUGAGGCGCGAAAGCGUGGGGAGCAAACAGGAUUAGAUACCCGCGUAGUCCCUGUCUCUUAUAC
Molecule: ribosomal RNA, 305 nt
Filed under: uncultured bacterium
Lineage: Bacteria
Description: partial 16S ribosomal RNA
Rfam family: Bacterial small subunit ribosomal RNA
Source: RNAcentral